AUUGAACGCUGGCGGCAUGCCUUACACAUGCAAGUCGAACGGCAGCACGGGUGCUUGCACCUGGUGGCGAGUGGCGAACGGGUGAGUAAUACAUCGGAACAUGUCCUGUAGUGGGGGAUAGCCCGGCGAAAGCCGGAUUAAUACCGCAUACGAUCUACGGAUGAAAGCGGGGGACCUUCGGGCCUCGCGCUAUCGGGUUGGCCGAUGGCUGAUUAGCUAGUUGGUGGGGUAAAGGCCUACCAAGGCGACGAUCAGUAGCUGGUCUGAGAGGACGACCAGCCACACUGGGACUGAGACACGGCCCAGACUCCUACGGGGCAGCAGUGGGGAAUUUUGGACAAUGGGCGAAAGCCUGAUCCAGCAAUGCCGCGUGUGUGAAGAAGGCCUUCGGGUUGUAAAGCACUUUUGUCCGGAAAGAAAUCCUUGGCCCUAAUACGGUCGGGGGAUGACGGUACCGGAAGAAUAAGCACCGGCUAACUACGUG
This 484-nucleotide ribosomal RNA is filed under the name uncultured bacterium. RNAcentral describes it as "partial 16S ribosomal RNA". It matches the Rfam family "Bacterial small subunit ribosomal RNA", at positions 30 to 507 of the family's 1533-position model. The record is from RNAcentral.